AUACGUAGGUGGCAAGCGUUGUCCGGAUUUAUUGGGCGUAAAGGGAACGCAGGCGGUUUUUUAAGUCUGAUGUGAAAGCCUUCGGCUUAACCGAAGUCGUGCAUUGGAAACUGGAAGACUUGAGUGCAGAAGAGGAGAGUGGAACUCCAUGUGUAGCGGUGAAAUGCGUAGAUAUAUGGAAGAACACCAGUGGCGAAAGCGGCUCUCUGGUCUGUAACUGACGCUGAGGUUCGAAAGCAUGGGUAGCAAACAGGAUUAGAUACCCUGGUAGUCCAUGCCGUAAACGAUGAAUGCUAAGUGUUGGAGGGUUUCCGCCCUUCAGUGCUGCAGCUAACGCAUUAAGCAUUCCGCCUGGGGAGUACGACCGCAAGGUUGAA
Molecule: ribosomal RNA, 377 nt
Filed under: uncultured bacterium
Lineage: Bacteria
Description: bacterial SSU rRNA
Rfam family: Bacterial small subunit ribosomal RNA
Source: RNAcentral